RNAcentral lists this transfer RNA (74 nucleotides) under Patulibacter sp. RNAcentral's name for it is "tRNA-Arg". It matches the Rfam family "tRNA". From Rfam's summary of the family: Transfer RNA (tRNA) molecules are approximately 80 nucleotides in length. Their secondary structure includes four short double-helical elements and three loops (D, anti-codon, and T loops). Further hydrogen bonds mediate the characteristic L-shaped molecular structure. tRNAs have two regions of fundamental functional importance: the anti-codon, which is responsible for specific mRNA codon recognition, and the 3' end, to which the tRNAs corresponding amino acid is attached (by aminoacyl-tRNA synthetases). tRNAs cope with the degeneracy of the genetic code in two manners: having more than one tRNA (with a specific anti-codon) for a particular amino acid; and 'wobble' base-pairing, i.e. permitting non-standard base-pairing at the 3rd anti-codon position. RNAcentral also lists the same sequence under 1 other name. Lineage: Bacteria; Bacillati; Actinomycetota; Thermoleophilia; Solirubrobacterales; Patulibacteraceae. The record is from RNAcentral.
GCGCCCCUAGCUCAGCUGGAUAGAGCGUCGGUCUACGGAACCGAAGGUCAAAGGUUCGAAUCCUUUGGGGCGCG